This 460-nucleotide ribosomal RNA is filed under the name uncultured bacterium. Its description in RNAcentral is "partial 16S ribosomal RNA". It matches the Rfam family "Bacterial small subunit ribosomal RNA", at positions 338 to 795 of the family's 1533-position model. The record is from RNAcentral.
CCUACGGGAGGCAGCAGUGAGGAAUAUUGGUCAAUGGACGCAAGUCUGAACCAGCCAAGUAGCGUGCAGGAUGACGGCCCUAUGGGUUGUAAACUGCUUUUAUACAGGGAUAAAACGGAGCACGUGUGCCCUGUUGCAUGUACUUUAUGAAUAAGGAUCGGCUAACUACGUGCCAGCAGCCGCGGUAAUACGGAGGAUCCGAGCGUUAUCCGGAUUUAUUGGGUUUAAAGGGAGCGUAGGCGGGUUGUUAAGUUAGAUGUGAAAUGUCGCGGCUUAACCGUGGAAUUGCAGCUGAUACUGGCGGUCUUGAGUACAGAUGCGGUAGGCGGAAUUCGUGGUGUAGCGGUGAAAUGCUUAGAUAUCAUGAAGAACCCCGAUUGCGAAGGCAGCUUACCAAUCUGUAACUGACGCUGAGGCUCGAAAGUGUGGGUAUCAAACAGGAUUAGAUACCCUAGUAGUC